Molecule: ribosomal RNA, 492 nt
Filed under: uncultured bacterium
Lineage: Bacteria
Description: partial 16S ribosomal RNA
Rfam family: Bacterial small subunit ribosomal RNA
Source: RNAcentral
AGUGAACGCUGGCGGUAGGCCUAACACAUGCAAGUCGAACGGCAGCACAGUAAGAGCUUGCUCUUACGGGUGGCGAGUGGCGGACGGGUGAGGAAUACAUCGGACUCUACUUUUUCGUGGGGGAUAACGUAGGGAAACUUACGCUAAUACCGCAUACGACCUACGGUUGAAAGCAGGGGAUCUUCGGACCUUGCGCGAUUGAAUGAGCCGCUGUCGGAUUAGCUAGUUGGCGGGGUAAUGGCCCACCAAGGCGACGAUCCGUAGCCGGUCUGAGAGGAUGAUCAGCCACACUGGAACUGAGACACGGUCCAGACUCCUACGGGAGGCAGCAGUGGGGAAUAUUGGACAAUGGGCGCAAGCCUGAUCCAGCCAUACCGCGUGGGUGAAGAAGACCUUCGGGUUGUAAAGCCCUUUUGUUGGGAAAGAAAAGCAGCAGGUUAAUACCCCGCUGUUCUGACGGUACCCAAAGAAUAAGCACCGGCUAACUUCGUG